RNAcentral lists this transfer RNA (72 nucleotides) under Helianthus annuus (common sunflower). RNAcentral describes it as "tRNA-His". The stretch from base 6 to 68 matches the Rfam family "tRNA", at positions 6 to 65 of the family's 71-position model. From Rfam's summary of the family: Transfer RNA (tRNA) molecules are approximately 80 nucleotides in length. Their secondary structure includes four short double-helical elements and three loops (D, anti-codon, and T loops). Lineage: Eukaryota; Viridiplantae; Streptophyta; Magnoliopsida; Asterales; Asteraceae. The record is from RNAcentral.
AAACUUGUAGCCAAUUGGAUCAAGGCAGUGGAUUGUGAAUCCACCAUGCGCGGGUUCAAUUCCCGUCGUUCG